This 497-nucleotide ribosomal RNA is filed under the name uncultured bacterium. RNAcentral's name for it is "partial 16S ribosomal RNA". It matches the Rfam family "Bacterial small subunit ribosomal RNA", at positions 28 to 507 of the family's 1533-position model. The record is from RNAcentral.
GAUGAACGCUGGCGGCGUGCCUAAUACAUGCAAGUCGAGCGAACGGACGAGAAGCUUGCUCUUCUGAUGUUAGCGGCGGACGGGUGAGUAACACGUGGAUCACCUACUUAUAAGACUGGGAUAACAUCGGGAAACCGGAGCUAAUACCGGCUAAUAUUUUGAACCGCAUGGUUCAAAAGUGAAAGACGGUCUUGCUGUCACUUAUAGCUGGAUCCGCGCUGCAUUAGCUAGUUGGUAAGGUAACGGCUUACCAAGGCAACGAUGCAUAGCCGACCUGAGAGGGUGAUCAGCCACACUGGAACUGAGACACGGUCCAGACUCCUACGGGAGGCAGCAGUAGGGAAUCUUCGGCAAUGGGCGAAAGCCUGACGGAGCAACGCCGCGUGAGUGAUGAAGGUCUUCGGAUCGUAAAACUCUGUUAUUAGGGAAGAACAUAUGUGUAAGUAACUGUGCACAUCUUGACGGUACCUAAACAGAAAGCCACGGCUAACUUCGUG